This 496-nucleotide ribosomal RNA is filed under the name uncultured bacterium. RNAcentral describes it as "partial 16S ribosomal RNA". It matches the Rfam family "Bacterial small subunit ribosomal RNA", at positions 28 to 506 of the family's 1533-position model. The record is from RNAcentral.
GAUGAACGCUGGCGGCGUGCCUAAUACAUGCAAGUCGAGCGAACAGACGAGGAGCUUGCUCCUCUGACGUUAGCGGCGGACGGGUGAGUAACACGUGGAUAACCUACCUAUAAGACUGGGAUAACUUCGGGAAACCGGAGCUAAUACCGGAUAAUAUAUUGAACCGCAUGGUUCAAUAGUGAAAGACGGUUUUGCUGUCACUUAUAGAUGGAUCCGCGCCGCAUUAGCUAGUUGGUAAGGUAACGGCUUACCAAGGCGACGAUGCGUAGCCGACCUGAGAGGGUGAUCGGCCAAACUGGAACUGAGACACGGUCCAGACUCCUACGGGAGGCAGCAGUAGGGAAUCUUCCGCAAUGGGCGAAAGCCUGACGGAGCAACGCCGCGUGAGUGAUGAAGGUCUUCGGAUCGUAAAACUCUGUUAUUAGGGAAGAACAAAUGUGUAAGUAACUAUGCACGUCUUGACGGUACCUAAGCAGAAAGCCACGGCUAACUACGU